RNAcentral lists this ribosomal RNA (465 nucleotides) under uncultured bacterium. RNAcentral describes it as "bacterial SSU rRNA". It matches the Rfam family "Bacterial small subunit ribosomal RNA", at positions 338 to 795 of the family's 1533-position model. The record is from RNAcentral.
CCUACGGGACGCAGCAGUGGGGAAUAUCGCACAAUGGGCGCAAGCCUGAUGCAGCCAUGCCGCGUGUAUGAAGAAGGCCUUCGGGUUGUAAAGUACUUUCAGCGGGGAGGAAGGUGUUGUGGUUAAUAACCACAGCAAUUGACGUUACCUGCAGAAGAAGCACCGGCUAACUCCGUGCCAGCAGCCGCGGUAAUACGGAGGGUGCGAGCGUUAAUCGGAAUUACUGGGCGUAAAGCGCACGCAGGCGGUCUGUCAAGUCGGAUGUGAAAUCCCCGGGCUCAACCUGGGAACUGCAUUCGAAACUGGCAGGCUGGAGUCUUGUAGAGGGGGGUAGAAUUCCAGGUGUAGCGGUGAAAUGCGUAGAGAUCUGGAGGAAUACCGGUGGCGAAGGCGGCCCCCUGGACAAAGACUGACGCUCAGGUGCGAAAGCGUGGGGAGCAACCAGGAUUAGAUACCCGGGUAGUC